This is a long non-coding RNA of Chroicocephalus ridibundus (black-headed gull), 748 nucleotides long. RefSeq lists it as uncharacterized. The transcript is spliced from 5 exons. NCBI's taxonomy places the organism in Eukaryota, Metazoa, Chordata, Aves, Charadriiformes, Laridae. The record is from RefSeq and is a predicted model, not a curated record.
UUCUGGAAGAAUCAGGAAACACUUGUUUUGCUUCACCUUCUGCACAAGAUACACAGCUGUCUAUCGUAUCUAAUCUUGUCUGUCUCUUUUUCAGGCUGAAGAACCUUUAUGCGUUUAACCGCUCCCUGAAACAGUCCCACAUCCCUGAUUUGAAAAGGCAUUACGCAUCAGGGAAACGAAUUGGGAAUGCUGCUUCCAAAACAUGAUAUAUAAAAACAUAGCUCGCAGCACUGUGAGUGGCCACUGAGGAUGGAAAACGUCCCUCUUGCUACAUGAGGAGGCAGAGGUGUGUGGCUCAGCCUUCCUUCAGAUGAAGCCACAGAAUGCAUCGGGGCUGUAUGGAUUUCACGAUGUCAUGGGAGCAAUGGGAAAGAAAAGGGGGAAAGACUCCUACGGGAUUUGGAUAUCGGAGCAGCCAUGGGAACCGUGAGCCUUUUCUCCUCCCAAGGCUUUUUUCCUCCUGGAUGAUGUGGCAGGAUCAGCGCAUUAAUUUUUCAGGUAACUUCUGCUAGUGGUGGCAGUGGUCCCCUAAGGGAGGUGGCCACACCGUGAGAUGGGAACCCACCUCAUCACACUGACCGUUGGCUGCGAUCAGCUGCGUGUAUUCCACCUGAUCUACCAGAGUGGAGACGAUUACUACAGAAUUCAGGUCCGUCUUAGCAAAAUUGUCAUCUCUGGCAGGAAAAACAGCUUUUGGCUUCUCCUGCUUGGAGAAAACCGGAGCAGAAUCCUAUUUAAUUACUGGCAG